This 170-nucleotide microRNA precursor is filed under the name Callithrix jacchus (white-tufted-ear marmoset). RNAcentral's name for it is "microRNA cja-mir-330 precursor". Its record names the gene cja-mir-330. The stretch from base 39 to 132 matches the Rfam family "mir-330 microRNA precursor family". The record is from miRBase by way of RNAcentral. Lineage: Eukaryota; Metazoa; Chordata; Mammalia; Primates; Cebidae.
UUCCAGGAUCGCGUCCCGGCCACUUCGUGCUGUGUGAUCUUUGGCGAUCACUGCCUCUCUGGGCCUGUGUCUUAGGCUCUGCAAGAUCAACCGAGCAAAGCACACGGCCUGCAGAGAGGCAGCGCUCUGCCCCUUACUCGGCCGCGGUGUUCAUCGGAGACCUCCAGGGA